This 460-nucleotide ribosomal RNA is filed under the name uncultured bacterium. RNAcentral's name for it is "partial 16S ribosomal RNA". It matches the Rfam family "Bacterial small subunit ribosomal RNA", at positions 338 to 795 of the family's 1533-position model. The record is from RNAcentral.
CCUACGGGAGGCAGCAGUGAGGAAUAUUGGUCAAUGGGCGCGAGCCUGAACCAGCCAAGUAGCGUGAAGGAUGACUGCCCUACGGGUUGUAAACUUCUUUUAUAAAGAAAUAAAGUGAUGCACGUGUGCGUUUUUGUUUGUACUUUAUGAAUAAGGAACGGCUAACUCCGUGCCAGCAGCCGCGGUAAUACGGAGGAUCCGAGCGUUAUCCGGAGUUAUUGGGUUUAAAGGGAGCGUAGAUGGGUUGUUAAGUCCGUUGUGAAAGUUUGCGGCUCAACCGUAAAAGUGCAAUUGAUACUGGCAGCCUUGAGUACAGUUGAGGUAGGCGGAAUUCGUGGUGUAGCGGUGAAAUGCUUAGAUAUCACGAAGAACUCCGAUUGCGAAGGCAGCUCACUAAACUGCCACUGACACUGAGGCUCGAAAGUGUGGGUAUCAAACAGGAUUAGAUACCCCUGUAGUC